Molecule: ribosomal RNA, 327 nt
Filed under: Triticum aestivum (bread wheat)
Lineage: Eukaryota; Viridiplantae; Streptophyta; Magnoliopsida; Poales; Poaceae
Description: partial small subunit ribosomal RNA
Source: RNAcentral
AUGCAGCUCUGGACACUAGAAGGCGCAGUGGAGGCCCUUGGAGACAAGGUGAUCAUCGACCGGCUCGACAGCCGGACCUUCGAACGCCCCGACACCAAGCUGGUCGCGUGCUGGGUCUGGGUCUGGAACCUCUCCUUCAUCCCGACCAAGCGGACGAUCUUGAAGCAUGCGAGGGGGGCGGGCCGCGUGGAGGAGAUGCACGGCUACUAGCCACCGAGCCGCACGGUUGCCCCUCCACCGGAGCUGCUGAAGUAUGACCUGCUGCUGCAUGUCGACCGAGUGGAGGAUUGGACGCUGCUUUCGCCGCGCUCCUCGCACUCGCCGUAG